UCGUGGUGUGAACUGUCUGCUUAAUUGCGACAACGAACGAGAUCUCCGCCUCUAAAUAAGUGCUGGUCUCGCACAUAGGUAGGAAGACCCGGGGUACGCAAGUAUCCUGACUUCCGAGAGCGCCAGCUCGCUUCUUAGAGGGACUGUGCACAUAUUCAGUGCGCGGAAGAAGGAGCCGAUAGCA
This 184-nucleotide ribosomal RNA is filed under the name uncultured eukaryote. RNAcentral describes it as "partial 18S ribosomal RNA". It matches the Rfam family "Eukaryotic small subunit ribosomal RNA", at positions 1299 to 1458 of the family's 1831-position model. The record is from RNAcentral.